Molecule: ribosomal RNA, 492 nt
Filed under: uncultured bacterium
Lineage: Bacteria
Description: partial 16S ribosomal RNA
Rfam family: Bacterial small subunit ribosomal RNA
Source: RNAcentral
AGUGAACGCUGGCGGUAGGCCUAACACAUGCAAGUCGAACGGCAGCACAGUAAGAGCUUGCUCUUACGGGUGGCGAGUGGCGGACGGGUGAGGAAUACAUUGGAAUCUACUUUUUCGUGGGGGAUAACGUAGGGAAACUUACGCUAAUACCGCAUACGACCUACGGGUGAAAGCAGGGGAUCUUCGGACCUUGCGCGAUUGAAUGAGCCGAUGUCGGAUUAGCUAGUUGGCGGGGUAAAGGCCCACCAAGGCGACGAUCCGUAGCUGGUCUGAGAGGAUGAUCAGCCACACUGGAACUGAGACACGGUCCAGACUCCUACGGGAGGCAGCAGUGGGGAAUAUUGGACAAUGGGCGCAAGCCUGAUCCAGCCAUACCGCGUGGGUGAAGAAGGCCUUCGGGUUGUAAAGCCCUUUUGUUGGGAAAGAAAGGCAGCAGGUUAAUACCCCGCUGUUCUGACGGUACCCAAAGAAUAAGCACCGGCUAACUUCGUG